CCUACGGGAGGCAGCAGUGGGGAAUAUUGCACAAUGGGGGAAACCCUGAUGCAGCGACGCCGCGUGAGUGAAGAAGUAUCUCGGUACGUAAAGCUCUAUCAGCAGGGAAGCAAAUGACGGUACCUGACUAAGAAUCCCCGGCUAACUACGUGCCAGCAGCCGCGGUAAUACGUCGGGGGCAAGCGUUAUCCGGAUUUACUGGGUGUAAAGGGAGCGUAGACGGCAGGACAAGUCUGGAGUGAAAUCCCGGGGCUUAACCCCGGAACUGCGUUGGAAACUGUGCGGGUGGAGUGCAGGAGGGGUAAGCGGAAUUCCGGGUGUAGCGGUGAAAUGGGUAGAUAUUAGGAGGAACACCGGUGGCGAAGGCGGCUUACUGGACUGUAACUGACGUUGAGGAUCGAAAGCGUGGGGAGCAAACAGGAUUAGAUACCCAGUAGUC
This 439-nucleotide ribosomal RNA is filed under the name uncultured bacterium. Its description in RNAcentral is "partial 16S ribosomal RNA". It matches the Rfam family "Bacterial small subunit ribosomal RNA", at positions 338 to 795 of the family's 1533-position model. The record is from RNAcentral.